GCUUGUGAGAGUAUGGCACGCGCGCCGAACACCGGUCUCCUCCCUGUUGUCAUAAGGUAGCCACUAAGAUCUCUUUCGAUCUCAAUCCCUUCUUUCUGUUUCUUUUUUCAGAUUAAUAUGGAGAUGUGGCGUGUGUUCAUACAGAUUGCUCAAAACAACUUUGCUCUAUCACUGUAUUGUAACUCUGAAAAUUAAUUUGUAUAUUUUGAUUAAUGUAUCAAGUUUGUGUGUUCAUCAAGGCCGAUUCUGCCCUUUUGCCACUGCCCACUUCGAUAGGCCGAGGGUCACCAUACAUUGGUUCUCCGCCUUGCAGCACUUCCCAAUAGGUGUGCUCCUCCCACCCCUUACUAUCUUUUCUUUCUUUCAUCAUCGGAAGAGUUGAGAUUAUCAAGGAUAGGAAUAUGAACAAAUAUGAUCACGCCCUAUGUUGUGUGUACUUUGUUGUCCAUCUGUACGUGCUACCCCUAGGUGGGUGACGCUCUGGUGAUUACAAUACUGACUGUCCAUGAUUUCUUUCUUAUGUGCGAUUUCUGGCCCAACUAACAUGAUACUAAUUUGCUUCCCUUCGUUUUUUAGUUACUGUACCGGCUGAUACAUCCAUCUGUUGGGAGGUUAUUUUGCUAUCAACUGUUAUGCUAGAUUUCUGCUUUUUCUAUUCAUGCUUGGUAUAAUGUCUGAACCGUUGUAACCAUAUAAAACCAUCUGAAUUGUUCAUCCGCCUGACAUCACCACCGUUGCCCCUGAUGCCCUGGUUGGCCAUCCUUGCUGUUGUCGUCUAAUAGAACCGCCGUUACUGCGGUUCUCAUCGGAACAAGGCUGUUAAUAUUAAGAACACAUCUUCUUACAUAACCGGGCAAGCCAUUACCUUCUAUUCUUUCUUAAUAUUCUGUUGUUUCAUCUAGUUCAUGUUAAUACUCAACAGCACACAUCAUUACCCGUUUUUAAAGUUCUCUUCCAUUUGAACAUUAUGCAAGGUACAAAGACAUGUCCGGAUAAUAAAAUUACUUGUAAACAUUUUGGGAUUUUUUCCUCCUCUGUUCACUGUACCGUGUUCUGUUCAAAAUACAGUCAUAAUGUCCACCCAUUUGAAAGAUGAUUGAGGUGAAUGUGAUACUAAAUAAUUGUCCUAACUUACUCAAAGAUGAUGCUUAUUAGGCUUGCUAACACAUUAGCAGUACCAUUGCUCAUUGAGGACCAAAGUAAAUAUUUAUGCACUGAUGCUUGUUUAUCACUGCCACUAUCCACAUUUUGUUUAUCUGUGGACCGCACGUCUGAUUUUUAUUAUUUUCCUUACAAAUACUUAAAAUAAUAGCUGCCAUUUUUGCUUCGUCUUUGCCCUACCAGACAAAUAUCAUCGAGUAAAAUGGUUCAUGCUGCAUGUUGCAUUCUAUGUUGAUGACAAAUAUCUUUCUUGAAUGGUUACUUAUAGUUUACAAAUCCUUGACAAAUACACAUUCUGAAAGUACAUACCCC
RNAcentral lists this long non-coding RNA (1473 nucleotides) under Triticum aestivum (bread wheat). RNAcentral's name for it is "long non-coding RNA (TAES_LNC003193)". The record is from RNAcentral. Lineage: Eukaryota; Viridiplantae; Streptophyta; Magnoliopsida; Poales; Poaceae.